Molecule: transfer RNA, 65 nt
Filed under: Bactrocera frauenfeldi
Lineage: Eukaryota; Metazoa; Arthropoda; Insecta; Diptera; Tephritidae
Description: tRNA-Asn
Source: RNAcentral
UUAAUUGAAGCCAAAAAGAGGCUUAUCACUGUUAAUGAUAGAACUGAGAUCAUUCUCCAAUUAAG